GAGACUCUGUGCGCGUGCAUAUCAAUAAGCGGAGGAAAAGAAACUAACAAGGAUUCCCAUAGUAACGGCGAGUGAAGCGGGAAGAGCUCAAAUUUGAAAUCUUCAAGGUUUUACCUGACGAAUUGUAGUUUAAAGAAGUGUUUUCUGUUGAAGUUUUGGUAAAAGUUCUUUGGAAUAGGACAUCAUAGAGGGUGAGAAUCCCGUAUUUGACCAUUAUUUUCAGCUGUGUGAUACACUUUCAAAGAGUCGGAUUGUUUGGGAAUGCAGUCCAAAAUGGGUGGUAAAUUUCAUCUAAAGCUAAAUAUUGGCGAGAGACCGAUAGCGAACAAGUACCGUGAGGGAAGGAUGAAAAGAACUUUGAAAAGAGAGUUAAACAGUACGUGAAAUUGUCAAAAGGGAAGCGUUUGACACCAGUGUUGUUUAGUUGAAAAUCAAUUCAAUAAUUUUAGAUUUUAAGUAGUAUUGACUUCAUCAGCUUGCUGCUUUCUUUUCAGGAAUUAUUGAAUGCACUUUUCAGUUAACAAGUCAACAUCAAUUUCUUUUGUUGUAAAAGGGUAUGAGGAAGGUGGCUUACGCUUCGGCGUAAGUGUUUAUAGCCUUUUACCUCUGCAAUCGGAGAGAUUGAGGAUCUGCAGCGUAGACUCUUCGGGGUUAGAUACACUUGUGCUAAGCUAUAGCCUUGUAUAGACAACUUGUUGACUAUGCUCAGUCAUGUAGCUUACUCGCUUGAUGCUAUUUUACCUACGCUUAGGAUGUUGAAGAUGUAGCACAUCAU
RNAcentral lists this ribosomal RNA (775 nucleotides) under uncultured Neocallimastigales. Its description in RNAcentral is "partial large subunit ribosomal RNA". It matches the Rfam family "Eukaryotic large subunit ribosomal RNA", at positions 23 to 635 of the family's 3401-position model. The record is from RNAcentral. Lineage: Eukaryota; Fungi; Neocallimastigomycota; Neocallimastigomycetes; Neocallimastigales.